This is a long non-coding RNA of Carlito syrichta (Philippine tarsier), 347 nucleotides long. RefSeq lists it as uncharacterized. Lineage: Eukaryota; Metazoa; Chordata; Mammalia; Primates; Tarsiidae. The record is from RefSeq and is a predicted model, not a curated record. The transcript is spliced from 2 exons.
ACUUCUUCUGGCUGAGGUGGCCAUUCUGGCCUAGGGACACACACAGACCUCUCAACACCACGCGCAAGAAGAAUGUGGCGCAGAAUCUGCACCACGGGGAUUCCGACGACGAGGAGGAUGAGAUAUUCAGCCGCGAUAGUCUUCCAGGCCCAGCUGGGGACAGCAGAGAAGCCCUGACGGAAAGGACAGCACCAGAGGAGUUGGCGGAGGUCGACGAGGAGACGGAGUGGCCCCAAGGGGAGGAGGCGGCGUAGUGACUCCAACUCAAAAAAUGAAGAUAAAAUAAAAUACCUGUGUUACAAGCAGUCCUGGCCAUGUGAUAAUAAAUUAAAAUGUAAAUAGCAAAA